UAUCACAAUAUCAUUGAAACUUCUUUUAAUGGAUUGAAAUGUUUUCAAUUCUUCCCAAUAUGAAUCAUUUGAUUGUGUAUUUGAUUCUCUAUGGGCCCUACAAUCACCAGUGGCACCUAGCAGCAUAUGGUGGCAGUCCAGUAGAAUAGAAUUGGAUGAAUCUCUAGGUACAGUUAACGUAUGAUAUAGUACUUUUAUUAUAAGUCUCGGUAAGA
Molecule: long non-coding RNA, 215 nt
Filed under: Elaeis guineensis (African oil palm)
Lineage: Eukaryota; Viridiplantae; Streptophyta; Magnoliopsida; Arecales; Arecaceae
Description: long non-coding RNA (EGUI_LNC017171)
Source: RNAcentral